CUCGUAGGCGGUUCGUCGCGUCCGGUGUGAAAGUCCAUCGCUUAACGGUGGAUCUGCGCCGGGUACGGGCGGGCCGGAGUGCGGUAGGGGAGACUGGAAUUCCCGGUGUAACGGUGGAAUGUGUAGAUAUCGGGAAGAACACCAAUGGCGAAGGCAGGUCUCUGGGCCGUCACUGACGCUGAGGAGCGAAAGCGUGGGGAGCGAACA
This 207-nucleotide ribosomal RNA is filed under the name uncultured bacterium. RNAcentral describes it as "partial 16S ribosomal RNA". It matches the Rfam family "Bacterial small subunit ribosomal RNA", at positions 568 to 774 of the family's 1533-position model. The record is from RNAcentral.